GAUGAACGCUAGCUACAGGCUUAACACAUGCAAGUCGAGGGGCAUCAGGAAGAAAGCUUGCUUUCUUUGCUGGCGACCGGCGCACGGGUGAGUAACACGUAUCCAACCUGCCCUUUACUCGGGGAUAGCCUUUCGAAAGAAAGAUUAAUACCCGAUAGUAUAAUGAUUCCGCAUGGUUUCAUUAUUAAAGGAUUCCGGUAAAGGAUGGGGAUGCGUUCCAUUAGGUUGUUGGUGAGGUAACGGCUCACCAAGCCUUCGAUGGAUAGGGGUUCUGAGAGGAAGGUCCCCCACAUUGGAACUGAGACACGGUCCAAACUCCUACGGGAGGCAGCAGUGAGGAAUAUUGGUCAAUGGGCGCUAGCCUGAACCAGCCAAGUAGCGUGAAGGAUGAAGGCUCUAUGGGUCGUAAACUUCUUUUAUAUAAGAAUAAAGUGCAGUAUGUAUACUGUUUUGUAUGUAUUAUAUGAAUAAGGAUCGGCUAACUCCGUGCCUGCAGCCGCGGUAAUACGGAGGAUCCGAGCGUUAUCCGGAUUUAUUGGGUUUAAAGGGAGCGUAGGUGGACUGGUAAGUCAGUUGUGAAAGUUUGCGGCUCAACCGUAAAAUUGCAGUUGAUACUGUCAGUCUUGAGUACAGUAGAGGUGGGCGGAAUUCGUGGUGUAGCGGUGAAAUGCUUAGAUAUCACGAAGAACUCCGAUUGCGAAGGCAGCCUGCUGGACUGUAACUGACGCUGAUGCUCGAAAGUGUGGGUAUCANACAGG
RNAcentral lists this ribosomal RNA (758 nucleotides) under uncultured bacterium. RNAcentral's name for it is "bacterial SSU rRNA". It matches the Rfam family "Bacterial small subunit ribosomal RNA", at positions 28 to 776 of the family's 1533-position model. The record is from RNAcentral.